UAGUCACGGUGCACAAUCACGUGGUCUAUGACGUCAUGCUAUAGGUAUCGCGCCAAGCAUUUUUUGUCAACAAAGCGUCGAUUCAAGAAGAAAAUUCGUCAUUCAAACGCAGAAUGGCUGAUGAAGCUAGGACAAACGUGUGCAGCCAGCGUGGCAAGGCUUUCCGCCAGAGGCGAAAUUUGCAUACGCUCGAGAAAAGUCACACAGAAACGUUUCCCUAGGGGUUUCAGCUCUCGAUAGGCAUUGAUGAAGAGAGCAUAAGUUCACACUUAAACGUUCACGACAGGAGAGGGAACAAUCCUCGGACUUUCAGUUCUGACAUUUGCGGCUAUCUGGUGGUGACCCGUUACGAACUCACCGAGCACAUGCGCAGUCAUGAAGACAACCGGAGUCUGCCUGCAUACAAUGUGGUGCAUUGAAUAAGCACAGGCCAUUCCUGAAUUGGGAUAUAAGGCAACGUCGCAGGAAUGUUUGUGUAAUUUAAACUAGUGAAUACUUUGAAAAAUUGAUGAAGACAUGUUGAUCUCGAAUUUUUAGUGGUGCAUUCUGGUCAUUGUGUCAAAUAGCAUUUUUGGCAUGAUGCAACCCUCGUGUCUCUCUAUUUUUUUGUUCUUAAGCGGCUUUCAAAUUCAAAUAUCUGUUACUAUCAAAGCCAUU
Molecule: long non-coding RNA, 657 nt
Organism: Mercenaria mercenaria
Lineage: Eukaryota; Metazoa; Mollusca; Bivalvia; Venerida; Veneridae
Exons: 3
Source: RefSeq, a predicted model, not a curated record